GGCCUCGUAGUGUAGCGGUUAACACGCCUGCCUGUCACGCAGGAGAUCGCGGGUUCGAUUCCCGUCGAGACCG
RNAcentral lists this transfer RNA (73 nucleotides) under Staphylococcus aureus. RNAcentral's name for it is "tRNA-Asp". It matches the Rfam family "tRNA". From Rfam's summary of the family: Transfer RNA (tRNA) molecules are approximately 80 nucleotides in length. Their secondary structure includes four short double-helical elements and three loops (D, anti-codon, and T loops). Further hydrogen bonds mediate the characteristic L-shaped molecular structure. tRNAs have two regions of fundamental functional importance: the anti-codon, which is responsible for specific mRNA codon recognition, and the 3' end, to which the tRNAs corresponding amino acid is attached (by aminoacyl-tRNA synthetases). tRNAs cope with the degeneracy of the genetic code in two manners: having more than one tRNA (with a specific anti-codon) for a particular amino acid; and 'wobble' base-pairing, i.e. permitting non-standard base-pairing at the 3rd anti-codon position. The record is from RNAcentral. Lineage: Bacteria; Bacillati; Bacillota; Bacilli; Caryophanales; Staphylococcaceae.